GCCGGAGGGUCGGCGUUUCCUCCUGCCUUUGAUCAGGACACUCCUGUACACCUGCAAGGAAGUGGGCACAGCAAAGCAAGGGUGGUCAGAGCCUUAAAGAAAAUGAACACCUCUAAGUACCUGCGGCCAAAUACAUAAACUACUUCACAACUGCUGGAGGCUGUGGUGAUAAUCUACUCUUUUGCUAGUGAGAAGUUGCCUGCAUAAGAAAACUACUCUUCAGGUAUGUCCAUGACUAGACAAAGGGUAUAGAUUAACUUGGAAAUUGAAUAUUCUUUUAUUAUUUCUAAUAAUAACUUCAUCUUUCAAAAAUCUCUGAAGACUUACCAAAAUGCAAACUAAGCAAAGCACAAAUUAGACCAAACAGUACCUUUCUAAAGAAGAGUCCAAGUGAGCCCAUCUUCCGGGGCCUGCUGGACGUGGCAGUGGGGAAUGGCUGGGUUUGUCUCUGCUCUCCAGGGGAGAUCUGCUGGACAGUUAAUUGGCCUGGUAACUGCAAGGUUGCUCCAGUCAUCUGGGUGUUGAGGGUGCCAGCAAGGGUCUGGGCACUGAGCGGCUGGAUGGGAGCAGGGACAGCUGGAGGCUGGGCUCCUACAUUUACUUGGACUGGGAAGAAAGUUAUUCCUCCAUUUUCAUUGGCAAUACCUGUAGUAUAAGAAAGAGUCUGAAAUAAGAGUAAGCUGGGGGGGGACACGUGUGUUUCUGGUUUUGCUGUUUUGUUUUUUUAAAGAAUUCAGUGAUUCUUUUCUUAGUUGCUUAUAACUAAAAAUGAAAUUGUUUCAUCAAAAUACUUCAGACAAGAAGAUAAUUACAUUGAACUAAUUUUAAUACUAAUGCAACUUUCAUCUUGUGCUAGUUCAGGAAGCAAGGUUUACUGAAAUAACUAAUUUUUUUAAAAUGGAUGUUGGCAGUCAGAACAUCCUGGUGCUGUACAUGUUCCGUUUCUACAUUCUGCUUAUCUAUUCAUACAGUUCCUCCUGAUCAUGAAACCUUAAACUUACCUUUUUCUCCACUGGCCUGCUGUUGUCCCCCCCUAUACUGUGUGCUGAUACUCUGAUGGGAACAAGACUGAAUAGUUGGCCAGUAGCUUCUCUUACCUUGCACUGGUAUUGUGACAGUUUGCCCGUUAUUGGCUGUGACAGUGGCAGUUGCCACUGUGACCAGUGUCUGGCCAGGCACGGGAGUCACGGACACGGCCUCGGGGUUCACGUUCUGCACGGGCACCGUGUUCACCACGGGCUGCUGGGAAACCCUGACGGGAGUCCCGUUGUCAGAGCUGGAAUCAUUAUCAGCAAACAGUCUUCUCCUGGUUGGAUUGGCUGUAGGAGAACUGUAUCUGUCAUACAGGGUAGUUGGAGAGGAUGAAAGGCCUGCAGAUUAAAAACACACAUAGACUGUAACUCUGCUUGUAUAGUCCUCUGUUGUACAAAUACGUGACAAAUCUAAUGAGAACCAAAACAGGUCAUGCAGAGCUCUUCAGGGAACAUUUUUUUAAAAUUCCUGAUGUUUACAUUUGUGGCUUACAGAUUGCUUUUAGGGAUGACUUCAUCUCAACCAGUGCUGUGUUUAGUAAUCUUCUAAGCUAAUGUGUACUAUGUUUUGUUUUUCCAGAGAAAAAAGUUUGAGACUUCAUGUAACUAAAUCUAUAGUGGAGCUUCUGUUCUGGUGUAACAAUAAAGCAAACUGUCCCAGUGCUGCUGAUUAGAACGUAAGUUGUGUGUGUGUAUAAAUACUAUUUAUCAAAUAUAUGCUACUAAUAUCCAUAAUCUUCUGAAAACACCCUGUCAAAAGAUAAUUGUUUUCUCACCAAAAUAGUGAAUGCACCCGUUUGAGACAUCUGACUUAACUAUGAGUUGCAACAGAAAUACAAUUUCCAGGUGUGUUUGCAGUCGACUGUACAUUGACCUGAAAGCUUCAUUGCUGCACACCACGGAGAUUAUGGAAAAAUUCAAGCCACAGUGUGAGAAGUGUAAGUCUAUUUUGCUUUACCUUUUCCAAGUCCUCCAGUUUCAGCACGAACCUCGUUGAUUCGUCGUGGUGUCAAUGGAGAACCUGCAACACUGUUCCCAGCAGAUCUCUCAUAGUACUGAGGUGGCAUCACCUAAAACAUUGAUACUGUUGUUAGAGUAUCUGUAUCACAGGGUGACAUAACCAUUCUAUGAUUUUUUAAGAGCUUCUGCACUGCAAAUUUUGAAGCAAAACUGUAUGGGAAAAAAUUAAAAUAACACUGAACAACUUACCAUAUUUUAUAUGGUAUUGUACUGAUCUAGAAGAUCCAGCAUUGGAAUAAUCUUUCUGUGACUAUACUCACAAGUUUAUACUUUCUAACAUGUUUUUUUCUUGUCCGGUCAUCUUUCCAGCUGCAAGUGACUGGUCCAGACCUUCCCUGAUUAUCCAUUUAGUUCACUGCUCUGCUAUGAUGUGUAAACAUCUGGGAUGUCUCUGGAGACAUCUGAAGACACUUCCCUGCACUGAUUAGCUUGGAGGGAAAAACUGUAAAUUGAACAUGUGAAGCCUCUCCUUCAGGGUACAACGUCCACUCUUCCAUCCUGUCUGAUCAGGAAAAAGAUGUAAAACACAAAAGAAGUGCUCACCUCUUCACAACUGGGAACUUUGUUUUCAUUCUCUUUGAUCCUGUCCCACAGUAUGGAUUCCCGUUUCCAUGCCAUACUUUCCAAGAUCUGUUCUUCAAUAUGAUUAAGGUGCUUCACUACUUCCCGACAAAGGCCAUCCUCUGCUCUGAUGAAAACCUCAAUUACCUGCAAAGGAGAUAAUUAUGAUUAGAAUAAUGUACUUUUUUUUUUUUUUUUUCAAAAAUACUUGUUUUUUUAUUUUUCAAGGAAGAAGAAAGUAUUAGAAAUACUAAGGCUGCAUUACGGUAACUCAAACAGGCCCAGCAGUGUUGCAGAACAGCUGCAGCCCUGGUUCAUGAAAAAAUGAGAAUCUAGUAGUUACUCUACAACUAGUGGGCCCCUGUUCCUGUGUUAAACUGACAGUGUUUUGGUUUUAGAUGCCUGAGGCACAACCCCAGGUUGACAGACACUUGGGUAAUACUUCAUCACAGGGGCAAAGCUGAGACUGAAGGGUUGCUGCUGUGCAAGUGGAGAUCAGUCAAUAGAGUACUCAUGACUCCAUAAACACUUCUAGCUGUCAAACACUUUACCUUAUAAAAGUGAUAAACUGGAAUGUCAAAUAUUUCCGUGAUGCAUGGGAAGUUUCCAGGUGGCUUGUAGGUAAAGGUGAUGAUCUCGAGGCAACAAGCCAGCAGAGACCGGUGGAACACGUCCUGCUCCAGGAUGGCCUGCAAGGGAGUUGCAAAGUUCAGUGAUUCAUUUACAGUGUAACUAUAGAACAGUAAAAUGCUUUCUGUUCUGCCUCUGCAGCAAGAUUAUCAAGCUUAUAAAGCAAGAUCUUAUUUUAUAUAAGAGAGCAGAAUCCAAAAAUGAGUCAUCUUUACUAAUUAAAAAUUACAUUUAUCUUUGCGUUCACAAAUUAUUUCCUGUAGGCUUUUUCUUUCAUUCAGGUGUGUUUACAGGCUGCUUUUCAGAGAUUUACCUUCAUUUUAAAUAGUUGUCUAUUCUGCUCUACAACUGGUAGAGUUUUAUUUUAGAUCCAACUCUAAAAAAUGAGGUAAAAAAUAGUUUUCCUUACGGAUAAGUCCAUGUCCCCCAGUCUCCUCCUCUCUUGCUCAAUGACUGACUCCAAGACCUUGUAAUACAGCACCUCUGCACGACGAAAAUGCUUACUAGCAACAUCUGCAGGAAUUUUAAGUAGAAACAAUAUUGUGAAAUACGACAAAAUAACUAUAUUCUUCAUCUUAAUCUAUAGAGAUUAAGCGAUUUAGUAGCUUGUGUGGAUUUCUGUGCUGUGGCCACAAUACUUGCAGGACUAAAUCAGGUCAUUUGAAGUUAAUUUAGGAAUCUCUCUCCUAUGUAGCACUGAAUUGUCAAUGCAGAGCAGAGUAACAUCUUACUGAACCCAGAUUUUUAUGAAAACAUCAUAUAGAAGAACAAACUUUUAAUGUGUUACAAUCAAAUCUAAUCUAAUAGACACAUUUCAAGUCCAGAAAAGAUGUUUGAAAAGUACACCUCUAUGGAUCCACUUGCACUGUGCCCCAGAACACGCUGAGCAGCUGUGCUGUGCAAAGAGCAGGCAGGGCUCCAGUAAGAAACAAGCUCAACAGCAUCUUCCUAAUUUUUAAUGUCACGUGCUUCACGGAUCUUUGCAAAUCUGCAAAUAAUACUUUUGUGUUUAUAGUGGCAGUAUUUUAAUAAUAUCUGCACUAACCCUGUGUAUAAGUCAAGAUUGCAGGACUUUGAAAGGCUACAGUGGGGUAGAUUUUCCAUGGCUGUCACAGAAAUCCAGGCCAUUGCCACUCAUGUAACUGAGAGAAAAGCAGAACCCUUAGGAGUGCUUUUUCCUUUCACUUCUGUAGAACUGAAAUGAUCAUCAGAUUCCAGGGAUUUAAGCUAAGGCCUGAUGAUAAAAUGUAUGCAGCUUGAAACUUACCAUGCCUUAAAACUACCAGGAAAAGACAGAAGUAAUAGAAGAGACUCUUCUGCUAAAGCAUAAGCUCCAAGUAAAACUGUAAGCUACUUAUAGGAGAUAAACAUAUUUACAGGUGUUUUAAUUCUUAUCUAUAUAAGUAAAAUGUUUCCUACCUUUGGAAAAAUUGCUGAAUUCUCCUUCAGCCUGCAGGCUCUGGCAGUACACCUCAUGCAUGUCUUUUACUCUGUUGGCAAUAGCUUGAGAUGGAUCUCUAGAACAUGCCCUGAAAAGAAAAUAAAAGCAUUUUCAACAUACUGUUCCUACCAAGACGAAAAAUUAGAAGAAACAUACAACUAUUUUUAUUAUAUGAUUAAAACAUGAAACUAUAAGUGCCUUGGAUUUAGCAAUACAAACACACCCACGUGUGCCUAACUGUAUAUGUGCUGUAAAGGGUCCACAGCAUAUUAUUAUUCUUGCAGGUAUUGUAAUAAAUAUGCACAUCUUUUCAUAAUAGGAUAAACAGCAUUUCACACGAUAAAAAAAAUUAUAUUGUGCCAGGGACAACAGUUCAUCUACAGGAAAAAUAUUUUUUUUUCAUCUUCUGCAGUAUGGAGGUUUGCUAGGUAGUGAGAUUUGCUAAGUAAGAAUAAUAAAAUUCUUAAAAUUUUGUAUUAGCAGUUUGGUGUUGGAGAAGCUCAAAACUGUUGGGUUUGAAGUGUUGGAUGUUCCUUCUGCCAUUGCUCUCUUAAUGAGAAAUGUGUCUGAAUAAACAGAACAACUUCUUUUGAAAUUCAAA
Apus apus (common swift) is the source of this 5284-nucleotide long non-coding RNA. RefSeq lists it as uncharacterized. The record is from RefSeq and is a predicted model, not a curated record. Lineage: Eukaryota; Metazoa; Chordata; Aves; Apodiformes; Apodidae. The transcript is spliced from 2 exons.